GAUGAACGCUGGCGGCGUGCCUAAUACAUGCAAGUCGAGCGAACAGACGAGGAGCUUGCUCCUCUGACGUUAGCGGCGGACGGGUGAGUAACACGUGGAUAACCUACCUAUAAGACUGGGAUAACUUCGGGAAACCGGAGCUAAUACCGGAUAAUAUAUUGAACCGCAUGGUUCAAUAGUGAAAGACGGUUUUGCUGUCACUUAUAGGUGGAUCCGCGCCGCAUUAGCUAGUUGGUAAGGUAACGGCUUACCAAGGCAACGAUGCGUAGCCGACCUGAGAGGGUGAUCGGCCACACUGGAACUGAGACACGGUCCAGACUCCUACGGGAGGCAGCAGUAGGGAAUCUUCCGCAAAGGGCGAAAGCCUGACGGAGCAACGCCGCGUGAGUGAUGAAGGUCUUCGGAUCGUAAAACUCUGUUAUUAGGGAAGAACAAAUGUGUAAGUAACUAUGCACGUCUUGGCGGUACCUAAUCAGAAAGCCACGGCUAACUACGUG
This 497-nucleotide ribosomal RNA is filed under the name uncultured bacterium. RNAcentral describes it as "partial 16S ribosomal RNA". It matches the Rfam family "Bacterial small subunit ribosomal RNA", at positions 28 to 507 of the family's 1533-position model. The record is from RNAcentral.